GAUGAACGCUGGCGGCGUGCUUAACACAUGCAAGUCGAACGGAAAGGCUCCUGCUUGCAGGGGUACUCGAGUGGCGAACGGGUGAGUAACACGUGGGUGAUCUGCCCUGCACUUCGGGAUAAGCCUGGGAAACUGGGUCUAAUACCGGAUAGGACGAUGGUUUGGAUGCCAUUGUGGAAAGUUUUUCGGUGUGGGAUGAGCUCGCGGCCUAUCAGCUUGUUGGUGGGGUAAUGGCCUACCAAGGCGUCGACGGGUAGCCGGCCUGAGAGGGUGUACGGCCACAUUGGGACUGAGAUACGGCCCAGACUCCUACGGGAGGCAGAAGUGGGGAAUAUUGCACAAUGGGCGCAAGCCUGAUGCAGCGACGCCGCGUGGGGGAUGACGGCCUUCGGGUUGUAAACUCCUUUCGCUAGGGACGAAGCGCAAGUGACGGUACCUGGAGAAGAAGCACCGGCUAACUACGUG
Molecule: ribosomal RNA, 465 nt
Filed under: uncultured bacterium
Lineage: Bacteria
Description: partial 16S ribosomal RNA
Rfam family: Bacterial small subunit ribosomal RNA
Source: RNAcentral